AGAGUUUGAUCCUGGCUCAGAACGAACGCUGGCGGCGUGCUUAACACAUGCAAGUCGUACGAGAAAUUUGGACUUCGGUCUAGAGAGUAAAGUGGCGCACGGGUGAGUAUCGCGUAGGUAAUCUACCCUUGGGUUUGGGAUAACUCGCCGAA
RNAcentral lists this ribosomal RNA (152 nucleotides) under uncultured bacterium. Its description in RNAcentral is "partial 16S ribosomal RNA". It matches the Rfam family "Bacterial small subunit ribosomal RNA", at positions 8 to 155 of the family's 1533-position model. The record is from RNAcentral.